AGCCUCCAGAGUAGCUGGGACCGGCUAGUUUUUUGUAUUUUUUAGUAGAGAGGGGGUUUCACCGGGUUAGCCAGGAUGGUCUCAAUCUCCUGACCUCGUGAUCCGCCCGUCUCGGCCUCCGAAAGUGCUGGGAUUACAGGCUUGAGCCACUGCGCCCGACCCCUAAUCUACUUUUCCAAACACAGUGAUACAGCUCCGGUGAGUGGAGGAACACCAGGGCUUUUGUCUCUCACGAAUCGGAUAAAAUGACAUGGACAUACAUGGAGUGGUUUUAAGGAGUGGAGAGUUUAAUAGGCAAGACAGAAGAGAGAAGAAAGAAGAAAGAAGCUCCCCGGUACACAGACAGAGGGAGAGGGGCCUACAAAGCGGAGAGAGGAAACCCAAGUACAGGUAUCUUCCAAAGACAAUAGAAAUGGCUGCUUGGAAUUGAGAUUUAAUUUGUUCAUAAAAACAAAAACAAGAAAGAAAGGAAUUUGAACAGAGAUUAUUUCAGACUUAGAAAAUCCAGCACCUUCUAUUGUGUAAUAUUUGAGAGGGAAUACACAGCAACAAAGAGAGACCAAGCUGCAUAUUCUACACUUUGAUGGGAAAAUUCCUUAGCUAAAUGUCCAACUGCAGAGCAUACAAAUUCUACCUUCCUCUCAAAAGAAGAAGUCAGUUCAGGGUCUCACUUUAUCACCAGGCUGGAGUGCAGUGGCACCAUCUCUACUCACUGAAACCUCUGCCUCCCAGGUUCAAGCAAUUCUUGUGCCUCAGCCUCCCAAAUAGCUGGGACUACAGGCUGGAAUGCAGAGGUGCCAUCAUAGCUCACUGCAACCUCAAAUGCCUGACUCAAGCCAUCCUGCCACCUCACUCUCUUGAGUAGAUGAGACUAGAGGAAAAUGCCACCACACCAGGAUAUAUAUAUAUUUAAUAUUUGGCAUGUUUAUAUGUAUUUAUUUAUUUAAAACUUUCAUUUUAGGGUCAGGGUGAGGGUUUGUAACAUAGGUAAAUGCAUAUCACGGGGGUUUGUAGUACAGAUAAUUUCAUCACAUAGGUAUUAAGCCCACUACCCAAUAGUUAUCUUUUCUGCUUCUCUCCGUCCUCCCACCCUCCUUCCUCAAGCAGACCCUAGUGUCUGUGAUUCCCUUCUUUGUGUUCAUGAGUUUUCAUCAAUUAGCUCCCACUUGUAAGUGACUUCUAAUUUCUGGACUUCAGAAGUGUGAGAAAAUAAGUGUGGUGUUUCAAGACACCAGAUUUUCAGAAUUUAUUACUGUGGCCACAGAAAACUAAUACAAGAGUUUACUUUUUUUUUUUUUUAAGUAGUCUUUGCUUACCCUGUUCCCCCUCUGAUUUUACUAAUUCAGCAUUUCCCUACACUUAAGUAAAUUUUCACUUCUCGUUUUAUUUCUUGUUCCCAUUUUCUUCUUCUACUACUACUGCUACUACUAAUACUGCUACUACUACUGUUACUAUUACUACCACCACCACAGAAAAUAUAG
Molecule: long non-coding RNA, 1481 nt
Filed under: Macaca fascicularis (crab-eating macaque)
Lineage: Eukaryota; Metazoa; Chordata; Mammalia; Primates; Cercopithecidae
Description: lncRNA (ENSMFAG00000060752.1)
Source: RNAcentral